CUACGGGAGGCAGCAGUGGGGAAUAUUGCACAAUGGGCGCAAGCCUGAUGCAGCCAUGCCGCGUGUAUGAAGAGGGCCUUCGGGUUGUAAAGUACUUUCAGCGGGGAGGAAGGGAGUAAAGUUAAUACCUUUGCUCAUUGACGUUACCCGCAGAAGAAGCACCGGCUAACUCCGUGCCAGCAGCCGCGGUAAUACGGAGGGUGCAAGCGUUAAUCGGAAUUACUGGGCGUAAAGCGCACGCAGGCGGUUUGUUAAGUCAGAUGUGAAAUCCCCGGGCUCAACCUGGGAACUGCAUCUGAUACUGGCAAGCUUGAGUCUCGUAGAGGGGGGUAGAAUUCCAGGUGUAGCGGUGAAAUGCGUAGAGAUCUGGAGGAAUACCGGUGGCGAAGGCGGCCCCCUGGACGAAGACUGACGCUCAGGUGCGAAAGCGUGGGGAGCAAACAGGAUUAGAUACCCUCGUAGUC
Molecule: ribosomal RNA, 464 nt
Filed under: uncultured bacterium
Lineage: Bacteria
Description: partial 16S ribosomal RNA
Rfam family: Bacterial small subunit ribosomal RNA
Source: RNAcentral